This is a long non-coding RNA of Numida meleagris (helmeted guineafowl), 398 nucleotides long. RefSeq lists it as uncharacterized. The transcript has 3 exons. Lineage: Eukaryota; Metazoa; Chordata; Aves; Galliformes; Numididae. The record is from RefSeq and is a predicted model, not a curated record.
UGGAGGGAAACUUAAAGAUUACCUAGUUCCAGUCCCCUGCCAUGGGCAGGGUUGUACCCACUGUAUCGGGCUUCCCAGGGCCCCCUUCCACAUGGCCUUGAACACCUCUGGGGAUGAGGCAUCCACAUCUUCUCCAGUUUCCAUCUGUGUGAAACUAUAACAGUUUCUGUCGCUGCUGUGCUUUAGAGUGCCAGUUUGGAGACCAUGCUGUAGGAAAAAUGUUUGGUCAAGCAAAUACUGAAGAAGGCAGUGGAAUCUACUCUGAUUACAGGAUUUCCAAAGCAAGGGCUUCAGCAUUCCUGCACAUAUAAGAAGUUGGAGUUGGCUGUUCCGUAUGCUGCAAUCAGACUGACACCACAACAGUGUAAAUUGUUAUGGCAGAAUAAAAUAGUUAAGAU